UGCAUGUCAUUGCAAUAAAUGCACCAUAAUUCAAAUGUAAUCAACACUCAAUUUUUUUUGCAGAAGAUCAACGACAAUGGAUUUGUUUAGGAUGAAGCAACCAAUAUAUGAACAAUGUGUGGAGGGUGGAUAAGUAAUUUCACCUUUACUUGCAAAAAUCUGAGUUUUAAAAAAGGUUUUUUCUUUCAUUUGCUAAUGAAUCAGCAUGCAACAAGUGUCCAAAAAAUUUUCAAACGUGAUAUGAACAAAAUAAUCGAAGUCUCUUUAGUUUCUUCUCUUGUUUGGCCUUUGUUCUAAGUGAAAAUCCUCUUAAAAUCGAGUGUAAGUUGAAUGUGAUAAUCAGCAAACUAUUGACGACGAUGACUAUUGUUGUUCCGACGAUUUGAAAUGUGAGUGUAGUGUUUGUAACCUAAAAUGAUGACAACGUAAGGGAUUCUAUUCUACUAGUUCUACCCAUGUCAAUAAGGACAACAUAACAGAUUUUGAUGGUGGUCUUUGCAGCAAACAACGAGGAAACGUAUAUAUACUAAGGGGUUGAAGAGUUUUUACGCAGUUGAGAUAAUGUUGAACGGAGUACCUGCCGAGGUGAAGUUUUUCUGAUAGAAUUAUGGAGCCCAGAAUAGCCACAAUGAUCAUGCAUAAAGGGUUGAAGGCUGUGACGAAAACUGGGCCUUUUGUCCUCAAAACAAGCCCUUGCACAUAUGUUUGGUGGUUAAUUACUGUAUAAAGGGGAGCUAAGAGCCUGGAGUCCCAGCCCACUGCCCAUCCACUGGCGCGACGCUCUACAGCAAGCGCUAUUGCUGCACUUUGCAAGGUGCCUGAUAAGCA
Long non-coding RNA from Mangifera indica (mango), 828 nucleotides. RefSeq lists it as uncharacterized. The transcript has 3 exons. NCBI's taxonomy places the organism in Eukaryota, Viridiplantae, Streptophyta, Magnoliopsida, Sapindales, Anacardiaceae. The record is from RefSeq and is a predicted model, not a curated record.